GAGAAAGGACAUGCACCCUUCUGCACACGAGUGAUUUCCUUAACCCCGUUGAUCCAGACUUCGAGAAAAUAUCAACACUCCUCACUUUGCGAUUUUCUUCCAUCACAACCUCGUGACACUCAGUCUCCAUCUGAACCAACUUCCUCUGAGACUCAUGUGCUUUCUCAACAAGAUCACCACACUGAAUAUCAAACUUCUCAAAUUAAACUUGAUUUGACACCAAGAAAUCAUCUAAAUUUUUUUGAAGUUGAGUAUUGUAAUCUAUGUUGACCACUUCCUCCUCUUUUUCUUUAACUAUGUAUUGCUCCUCGCAAAAGGUAGUACAAUGAUAACCUCCAAAAAAAUCGCAACACAUACUCAAUCUUGUUUCCAAAUCGUUUAUAUGUAGAGAUUGUUGGAUUAAUUAUUUAGUUAAUCAAUUAUGGAUUGACAAUAAUCAAUUAUUAUAAGUUAAUGUCAUAAUAUAAA
This 468-nucleotide long non-coding RNA is filed under the name Medicago truncatula (barrel medic). RNAcentral's name for it is "long non-coding RNA (MTRU_LNC004312)". The record is from RNAcentral. Lineage: Eukaryota; Viridiplantae; Streptophyta; Magnoliopsida; Fabales; Fabaceae.